AAGAAACAAAGAUGCAGGAGCUGUUUCGUGCCAUCCAUGUAGGGGAUCAGGAAAAGAUCCGGAAAGAAGCCAUCAAAGAGACAGAAAAGCUCCAUAAGAAUGCAGCCACCAUCAGCCAGUACAAUCUGGCCACCAUGGAGAUUGUCAGCGGCUUUUUCAAAUUUUGUGCCAAUAAUUCCAUGGAUUUCAAUGAAAUUUCCGGAAAUGUACAGAAUCUUUACGAAAGAGUGACUCAGCUGGAUGAAAGCUCUAUGACAAACUGGAUUAUCAAUAUGUCUAUGGCGAUCAGCGAAAAACUGAGAAGUACCAGAAAUAGUACCUCCAGACGGAUCAUCACCGAUGCACAGAACAUCGUAAAAGACAGAUAUAUGGAACCGGCGCUCUCGCUGGAUGAUGUGUGCGCAGAUCUUGGUGUGUCCAAUUCUUACUUUUCGUCCAUCUUUAAAAAGGAAACCGGUCAGUCCUUCGUCUCCUAUCUUACCGAUUACCGAAUGGACAGGGCAGAAGAAAUGGUGCUGAACACCGAUGAAAAAAGCUAUAAGAUCGCAGAAAAAGUGGGAUAUCAGGAUGCGAACUACUUCAGCUAUGUAUUCAAAAAGAAAUUCGGUGUUUCCCCUUCCAAAUACAGAGCUUCCGGAAAAUAGGGAACAGGUGAAAGGGAAAAUACAUGAAAGAUAGAAAAAGAAAGCCGGAUUCCCGGAUACCCUUGGCCAGGAUGAAGUCUGGGUAACACCAGAUGGAGGUCCGCACCAAUAAGCGUUGAAAAGCUUCUGGAUGAGCUGAGGGUAGGGGUGAAAGGCUAAUCAAACUUGGAGAUAGCUCGUACUCCCCGAAAUGCAUUUAGGUGCAGCCUCGCGGGUUACUGAUGUGAGGUAGAGCGACUGAUUGGAUGCGAGGGCUUCACCGCCUAUCAAGUCCUGACAAACUCCGAAUGCGCAUCAGUUUUACCGCGGGAGUGAGGGCAUGGGUGCUAAGGUCCGUGCCCGAGAGGAGAAGAAUCCGGACUAUCAGCUAAGGCCCCGAAAUGACAGCUAAGUUAAACUAACGAAGUCUGAUUGCUAAGACAGCUAGGAUGUUGGCUUGGAAGCAGCCAUUCAUUUAAAGAGUGCGUAACAGCUCACUAGUCGAGGAAUCGGGCGUGGAUAAUAAUCGGGUAUUAAGUUGUCUGCCGAAGCUAUAGAAUCAGCAAUGAUUGGUAGGGGAGCAUUCCAUUCGGCGUUGAAGGCGUGGCGUGAGCCAUUCUGGAGCGUAUGGAAAAGCAAAUGUAGGUAUAAGUAACGAUAAAGGGGGUGAGAAACCCCCUCGCCGAAAGACUAAGGUUUCCUGAUCAACGCUAAUCGGAUCAGGGUAAGUCGGGUCCUAAGGUUCAGCCGAACGGCGAGACCGAUGGCAGAAACGGUUAAUAUUCCGUUACUACCUUUGAGGGUGACGUGGGGACGCAGGAGUGACACCGCCGCCGGCUGACGGAAUAGCCGGUUAAAGAGUGUAGACGUUGAUUUCCGCAGGCAAAUCCACGGAAAGAGUCGAACUUGACAGUAUGGAACGUCCUUCGGGACAAUCCAAUAGUGCGGGUAAGCAGACUGCCGAGAAAAUCCGCUAAACAUAACUUCAGAGGUACCCGUACCGCAAACGGACACACGUAGUCGGGUUGAAUAUACUAAGGCGCUUGAGUGAAUCACGGUUAAGGAACUAGGCAAACUGACCCUGUAACUUCGGGAUAAAGGGUCCCUACCCAGAAAUGGGAGGGCGCAGAGAAUAGGUCCAGGCAACUGUUUAACAAAAACACAGGGCUGUGCCAAUAUGAAAGUAGACGUAUACAGCCUGACACCUGCCCGGUGCUGGAAGGUUAAGAGGAGAUGUCAUCUUUGGGAGAAGCAUUGAAUUGAAGCCCCAGUAAACGGCGGCCGUAACUAUAACGGUCCUAAGGUAGCGAAAUUCCUUGUCGG
RNAcentral lists this ribosomal RNA (1946 nucleotides) under human gut metagenome. RNAcentral's name for it is "bacterial LSU rRNA". The stretch from base 577 to 1946 matches the Rfam family "Bacterial large subunit ribosomal RNA", at positions 1 to 1975 of the family's 2925-position model. The record is from RNAcentral.